GCUCAUCACAUCCUGGGGCUGAAGUAGGUCCCAAGGGUAUGGCUGUUCGCCAUUUAAAGUGGUACGCGAGCUGGGUUUAGAACGUCGUGAGACAGUUCGGUCCCUAUCUGCCGUGGGCGCUGGAGAAUUGAGGGGGGCUGCUCCUAGUACGAGAGGACCGGAGUGGACGCAUCACUGGUGUUCGGGUUGUCAUGCCAAUGGCAUUGCCCGGUAGCUAAAUGCGGAAGAGAUAAGUGCUGAAAGCAUCUAAGCACGAAACUUGCC
RNAcentral lists this ribosomal RNA (264 nucleotides) under Klebsiella michiganensis. RNAcentral's name for it is "partial 23S ribosomal RNA". It matches the Rfam family "Bacterial large subunit ribosomal RNA", at positions 2535 to 2798 of the family's 2925-position model. The record is from RNAcentral. Lineage: Bacteria; Pseudomonadati; Pseudomonadota; Gammaproteobacteria; Enterobacterales; Enterobacteriaceae.